This is a long non-coding RNA of Ruditapes philippinarum (Manila clam), 814 nucleotides long. RefSeq lists it as uncharacterized. The record is from RefSeq and is a predicted model, not a curated record. NCBI's taxonomy places the organism in Eukaryota, Metazoa, Mollusca, Bivalvia, Venerida, Veneridae. The transcript has 2 exons.
AAACAAUGAUGAUGAGAUCAAAUUUGCUGCAAAUUGUUUCCUGAAGAGCUACCUAGAAUAUUGUAAGCAAAAAGUGAUUGAAAUGGACUCAUUUCAAAAGGAAGUGACAAUUGUAUGCCAGACAGAGCAUGCUCAUAGCCUUGUAUGUGAAGUUUUUAUGAAGUAUGUUCAGGACCAAAAAGAUAUUUAAAAGUACAAGAAAAAUGCCUCAGAAUACCCUCAGGAAGGAAUGACUGGAAAACAUGUGGCCAUGUUCAAAAGAAUUGUUGGGGCCUCAUAUCAUUCAAUGAAAGAGAUUUACAUUGUCACACAUUGGACAUAAAGAAGUGCUGUGCCUGCCAAAUUGGCCGUAACUUGUCACUUGUACCAGGAGGAAGAAUUUGAACUUUAUAAAUCCAAUGUCAGAUAUUGCAAGACUUUUGAAAAAUUUACACAAUUGGGGAAAAGGGCAUUGUGUAUAUCUUCAGAUAAAUUACUUGACAGUGUGUAGCUUCUCACACUUCUGACAGUCAAGAUCUAAUUGUAUUUUAUUUAUUAUUUUGUAAUUUUAUUUACUAUAACAACUAGUGUAAUAUCUAUAUGUUUUACUUUUGAUAAUUUUAAUAUUACUAUGUUUUUCUUAAAUUCUUUUGCUUUAAAUAUUUUUUAGUUUUAUAAUUACCAUUUUAUUGAUUGUGUAAAUUUCUGAUACUUAAUUUUUCAAACUUGCCAAAAUUACUUUAGUAUAAUAACAUUAUAGUUAAAGAAACCAUCAAGUCAGCUUGGGCUAUUAUUGUCUGAAAAUGUAUGUGCUGGCUUAAAUUCUAUAAGUGUU